This 423-nucleotide ribosomal RNA is filed under the name Anaplasma marginale. Its description in RNAcentral is "bacterial SSU rRNA". It matches the Rfam family "Bacterial small subunit ribosomal RNA", at positions 92 to 545 of the family's 1533-position model. Lineage: Bacteria; Pseudomonadati; Pseudomonadota; Alphaproteobacteria; Rickettsiales; Anaplasmataceae. The record is from RNAcentral.
UUAGUGGCAGGACGGGUGAGUAAUGCAUAGGAAUCUACCUAGUAGUAUGGGAUAGCCACUAGAAAUGGUGGGUAAUACUGUAUAAUCCCUGCGGGGGAAAGAUUUAUCGCUAUUAGAUGAGCCUAUGUCAGAUUAGCUAGUUGGUGGGGUAAUGGCCUACCAAGGCGGUGAUCUGUAGCUGGUCUGAGAGGAUGAUCAGCCACACUGGAACUGAGACACGGUCCAGACUCCUACGGGAGGCAGCAGUGGGGAAUAUUGGACAAUGGGCGCAAGCCUGAUCCAGCUAUGCCGCGUGAGUGAGGAAGGCCUUAGGGUUGUAAAACUCUUUCAGUAGGGAAGAUAAUGACGGUACCUACAGAAGAAGUCCCGGCAAACUCCGUGCCAGCAGCCGCGGUAAUACGGAGGGGGCAAGCGUUGUUUCGG